AUUGAACGCUGGCGGCAGGCUUAACACAUGCAAGUCGAGCGGAGAGAGGUAGCUUGCUACUGAUCUUAGCGGCGGACGGGUGAGUAAUGCUUAGGAAUCUGCCUAUUAGUGGGGGACAACAUUUCGAAAGGAAUGCUAAUACCGCAUACGUCCUACGGGAGAAAGCAGGGGAUCUUCGGACCUUGCGCUAAUAGAUGAGCCUAAGUCGGAUUAGCUAGUUGGUGGGAUAAAGGCCUACCAAGGCGACGAUCUGUAGCGGGUCUGAGAGGAUGAUCCGCCACACUGGGACUGAGACACGGCCCAGACUCCGACGGGAGGCAGCAGUGGGGAAUAUUGGACAAUGGGCGGAAGCCUGAUCCAGCCAUGCCGCGUGUGUGAAGAAGGCCUUAUGGUUGUAAAGCACUUUAAGCGAGGAGGAGGUUACUUUAGUUAAUACCUAGAGAUAGUGGACGUUACUCGCAGAAUAAGCACCGGCUAACUCUGUGCCAGCCGCCGCCGUAA
RNAcentral lists this ribosomal RNA (501 nucleotides) under uncultured bacterium. RNAcentral's name for it is "partial 16S ribosomal RNA". It matches the Rfam family "Bacterial small subunit ribosomal RNA", at positions 30 to 523 of the family's 1533-position model. The record is from RNAcentral.